UGACUGGAUAGCAAGGACAAUAGUGGGAUUUUCAAAACAAUAAAAGGACAAUGGAAGAUUCUGAUCACUGGGUCAUGACUGGAUGACAUGGAGAACAGUGAGAUUUUCAAAACAAUGAAAAGACAAUGGAACAUUCUGAUCACUGGAUCAUGACUGGAUGACAUGGAGAACAGUGAGAUUUUCAAAACAAUGAAAAGACAAUGGAACAUUUUGAUCACUGGAUCAUGACUGGAUGGCAUGGAGAACAGUGGGAUUUUCAAAACAAUGAAAAGACAAUGGAACAUUUUGAUCACUGGAUCAUGACUGGAUGGCAUGGAGAACAGUGGGAUUUUCAAAACAAUGAAAAGACAACAUUUUGAUCACUGGAUCAUGACUGGAUGGUAUGGAGAGCAGUGGGAUUUUCAAACAAUGAAAAGACAAUGAAACAUUUUGAUCACUGGAUCAUGACUGGAUGGUAUGGAGAACAGUGGGAUUUUGAAAACAAUGAAAAGACAAUGGAACAUUCUGAUCACUGGAUCAUGACUGGAUGGCAUGGAGAACAGUGGGAUUUUCAAAACAAUGAAAAGACAAUGGAACAUUCCGAUCACUGGAUCAUGACUGGAUGGCAUGGAGAACAGUGAGAUUUUCAAAACAAUGAAAAGACAAUGGAACAUUCUGAUCACUGGAUCAUGACUGGAUGGCAUGAAGGACAGUGAGAUUUUCAAAACAAUGAAAAGACAAUGGAACAUUUUGAUCACUGGAUCAUGACUGGAUGACAUGGAGAACAGUGAGAUUUUCAAAACAAUGAAAAGACAAUGGAACAUUCUGAUCACUGGAUCAUGACUGGAUGACAUGAAGGACAGUGAGAUUUUCAAAACAAUGAAAAGACAAUGGAACAUUCUGAUCACUGGGUCAUGACUGGAUGACAUGGAGAACAGUGAGAUUUUCAAAACAAUGAAAAGACAAUGGAACAUUCUGAUCACUGGAUCAUGACUGGAUGGCAUGGAGAACAGUGAGAUUUUCAAAACAAUGAAAAGACAAUGGAACAUUCUGAUCACUGGAUCAUGACUGGAUGGCAUGGAGAACAGUGGGAUUUUCAAAACAAUGAAAAGACAUUGGAACAUUCUGAUCACUGGAUCAUGACUGGAUGACAUGGAGAACAGUGAGAUUUUCAAAACAAUGAAAAGACAUUGGAACAUUCUGAUCACUGGAUCAUGACUGGAUGGCAUGGAGAACAGUGGGAUUUUCAAAACAAUGAAAAGACAAUGGAACAUUUUGAUCACUGGAUCAUGACUGGAUGGCAUGGAGAACAGUGGAAUUUUCAAAACAAUGAAAAGACAAUGGAACAUUCUGAUCACUGGAUCAUGACUGGAUGGCAUGAAGGACAGUGAGAUUUUCAAAACAAUGAAAAGACAAUGGAACAUUUUGAUCACUGGAUCAUGACUGGAUGGCAUGGAGAACAGUGAGAUUUUCAAAACAAUGAAAAGACAAUGGAACAUUCUGAUCACUGGAUCAUGACUGGAUGGCAUGGAGAACAGUGAGAUUUUCAAAACAAUGAAAAGACAAUGGAACAUUCUGAUCACUGGAUGGCAUGAAGGACAGUGAGAUUUUCAAAACAAUGAAAAGACAAUGGAACAUUUUGAUCACUGGAUCAUGACUGGAUGGCAUGGAGAACAGUGGAAUUUUCAAAACAAUGAAAAGACAAUGGAACAUUCUGAUCACUGGAUCAUGACUGGAUGACAUGAAGGACAGUGAGAUUUUCAAAACAAUGAAAAGACAAUGGAACAUUUUGAUCACUGGAUCAUGACUGGAUGGCAUGGAGAACAGUGGGAUUUUCAAAACAAUGAAAAGACAAUGGAACAUUUUGAUCACUGGAUCGUAACUGGAUGGCAUGAAGAACAGUGGGAUUUUCAAAACA
This 1897-nucleotide long non-coding RNA is filed under the name Paramuricea clavata. Lineage: Eukaryota; Metazoa; Cnidaria; Anthozoa; Malacalcyonacea; Plexauridae. The record is from RNAcentral.